AUAUGUUAUACGGUCUGAUAUACCAUAGCUGUCAGCCAAUCAGCAUUCGGGGCUUGAACCACCCAGUUUAUAAGGUCAUUUAGAACAUACUUUUGGUUACCUAAAAGAGAAUGCAGGAUUUUAUAUCAAAGAAUUUCACUUUACUCAUUUGUUAUUGUUCCUUUGUUUUUUCAACAGUUCAGUUUACAUUCAAUCCAUCAUCUUCAUACAUUUACUGUACUCAAAUUAGCUGACGAUGGCUCUGCCAUAUAAUGCUUACACUUUUAAUAAACACAUACUGACUUGAUUGAAUUCUCUGAUGAGAAGGGUACAAUGUGUUUCCAUUACCAGUCCAGUCCAGUGGGUUGUAGCUCCUACUGUAAGUAAGAUUUAGGAUUUUUUCACGUUAAUUUCAAUAGCCAAGUGAACAAGACUUGGAAGUGUGGCAACGCGAGACUAGAGGAACAUCCUCUCUGUCCUCACUCUAGCUAGUUCAACACACAGGCAUUGACUCUACAGACCUACUUGCCAUAGCCUGCAUUGCAUUCAAAGCUAAAUGAUUGACACAAAUUUGCCUUGACAUUUCCUGUUUCAGUGGCUUUUGUGUAGUGUGUUGGUUCUAAAUUCUCAUUGGCUGUGCUGUUCCGCUUGUUGAUGAUAUUGAGCUGUCACAACAUAGACCUUUUGAUUGAGUUUUGCUCUCAAUGUAGUGUACUCAAUGGUCUACUCUGCACAAUGCCCCGUCAGUUCUUUUUUAAAGAGACAUUCAUUAAACUAAGAGUAGUGCCAUUUUCAUUAAGGAAUGACUUUCAAGUCAAAUUAGUACAGUGUUAAUGGCUAAUCACUAAAAAGGUGCCAACAUUUGGUUUCAUGAGCUGAGAUUGACAUGUUGGAAACCAAUGAGACUGACUACAUGUUGAGGUCUUCCAGAUAAAGUGGAGGACAGGGACUGAUCUCUUUCUGCUCAGUGAUGUUCUGAAAAUUAAAAGAGAGGCUAACUUCUCCAAACCUAGCUUUCCCCCUGAAUGUAUCGUUUGAUUCUAUGAUUGUUUCCUUUGUUAAACUACGGUAAUAGUGAGUGCCAUUUGUAAAAGACAUUUAACAAUUUUAACUGUAGCCUGUCCAAUUGCUGCGUGGUGUGAUCAAAAUGUGUGAGAGAGAAUAAAACAUGUAUUGUGCAAACACUGCACAAGCUACACACAUUAAAAUACUUUAAAAUACUACACACAUUAAAAUACUACACACAUUAAAAUUCUGUAUACAGUAUAGUGAAAUUAGGAAUCUUCAUACCAACAGAUGUUUUAUUUUAGAUAAAUUACGUUCAUCAAAUUGGAUGCUUGACAUGUGGACAGAGACAAGGGCAGUGCAAGUUGUCAUAUCUUCAAGUGUGACUAACAGUAACAAUUGUGAGUAAUUCUUUAAAAUGUAUUAUUGGCUUUAUCUUCUAUUUGAUCUCCACUAAUUUGUUUGGAUAGUGAAGUAGUUUGUGAUAGAGUGUGUGAGGGUAGAGUGUCCGAACAAGGGUGGGUAGAUUGGAGGAGGCAGGUAACCCUCUAUGUCCACUGCCCAGGGCUUUAACCCAUUCAUUCUGAUUAGAGAGAAAUAAAGAGAGAGGGAGACUGAGAGAGGAGAAGGAGGGGUAGAGAGAGAUGAAGGAAUAGAAACAGACAGUUCUAGAGGAUACAGUUAGGCAUAGUUUAGUAUUUUAGAGAGGACGCUAUUGUCACAUUUGCACAUCACAAGGCAUUCUAGCCUUACCUCAAGUGGUAAACAUUCUGUAUUCAAAAUGUAUAUGAAGGGCUUCACUGUAUCUAAAUAGGUGAUGGUUAUUUGAUAGCUGAUGUUUAUUUGAUGAGUUUACACAUUGACAUUUGCUUACUCCAAAUUAACAAUCUGAACAAGUCCUUUGAUAAGAAAAGUGUAUUUAGUUAUAUUUUCUGUUCUUUAUGUUUUUUAUUGGAAGUAAAUUAUAUAAAUGAAUAUGUGUAUGCAUAGUGAAGUAUAUAAUAUAGUAUUUUUUUUGUAAAAGCUACAAUACUAAUGCACGGAUGCAAUGCAUUGUGAGCUAUUGAAUAUUAACUGCGGAGUAUUGUUAAGUAUCAAAGCCAAUUAUUUGUACUGUACUUUGAACUGAUUUGUAAACGGAUGGUAUAUUAAAACUACUCUGUCUAUGCAUUGUCUGUC
Molecule: long non-coding RNA, 2163 nt
Organism: Salvelinus sp. IW2-2015
Lineage: Eukaryota; Metazoa; Chordata; Actinopteri; Salmoniformes; Salmonidae
Source: RefSeq, a predicted model, not a curated record